RNAcentral lists this microRNA precursor (134 nucleotides) under Eucalyptus grandis. The record is from RNAcentral. Lineage: Eukaryota; Viridiplantae; Streptophyta; Magnoliopsida; Myrtales; Myrtaceae.
AGUUUGGUUUGUUAGCCAAGGAUGACUUGCCUGUUUCAUACAAGAGGCUUUGACUAUGAUCGCCGUUCUCAUCGAUUGAUGCGCACGAUUGCAUGGUCACCAGGCAGGUCAUCGUGGCUUAUCUACCGUGCUCU